AGCGUACACGGUGGAUGCCCUGGCAGUCAGAGGCGAUGAAGGACGUGCUAAUCUGCGAUAAGCGUCGGUAAGGUGAUAUGAACCGUUAUAACCGGCGAUUUCCGAAUGGGGAAACCCAGUGUGWUUCGWCACACUAUCAUUAACUGAAUCCAUAGGUUAAUGAGGCGAACCGGGGGAACUGAAACAUCUAAGUACCCCGAGGAAAAGAAAUCAACCGAGAUUCCCCCAGUAGCGGCGAGCGAACGGGGAGCAGCCCAGAGCCUGAAUCAGUGUGUGUGUUAGUGGAAGCGUCUGGAAAGRCGCGCGAUACAGGGUGACAGCCCCGUACACAAAAAUGCACAUGCUGUGAGCUCGAUGAGUAGGGCGGGACACGUGGUAUCCUGUCUGAAUAUGGGGGGACCAUCCUCCAAGGCUAAAUACUCCUGACUGACCGAUAGUGAACCAGUACCGUGAGGGAAAGGCGAAAAGAACCCCGGCGAGGGGAGUGAAAAAGAACCUGAAACCGUGUACGUACAAGCAGUGGGAGCACAGAGCAAUCUGUGUGACUGCGUACCUUUUGUAUAAUGGGUCAGCGACUUAUAUUCUGUAGCAAGGUUAACCGAAUAGGGGAGCCGAAGGGAAACCGAGUCUUAACUGGGCGUUAAGUUGCAGGGUAUAGACCCGAAACCCGGUGAUCUAGCCAUGGGCAGGUUGAAGGUUGGGUAACACUAACUGGAGGACCGAACCGACUAAUGUUGAAAAAUUAGCGGAUGACUUGUGGCUGGGGGUGAAAGGCCAAUCAAACCGGGAGAUAGCUGGUUCUCCCCGAAAGCUAUUUAGGUAGCGCCUCGUGAAUUCAUCUCCGGGGGUAGAGCACUGUUUCGGCAAGGGGGUCAUCCCGACUUACCAACCCGAUGCAAACUGCGAAUACCGGAGAAUGUUAUCACGGGAGACACACGGCGGGUGCUAACGUCCGUCGUGAAGAGGGAAACAACCCAGACCGCCAGCUAAGGUCCCAAAGUCAUGGUUAAGUGGGAAACGAUGUGGGAAGGCCCAGACAGCCAGGAUGUUGGCUUAGAAGCAGCCAUCAUUUAAAGAAAGCGUAAUAGCUCACUGGUCGAGUCGGCCUGCGCGGAAGAUGUAACGGGGCUAAACCAUGCACCGAAGCUGCGGCAGCGACRCUKAUGYGUUGUUGGGUAGGGGAGCGUUCUGUAAGCCUGUGAAGGUGURCUGUGAGGYAUGCUGGAGGUAUCAGAAGUGCGAAUGCUGACAUAAGUAACGAUAAAGCGGGUGAAAAGCCCGCUCGCCGGAAGACCAAGGGUUCCUGUCCAACGUUAAUCGGGGCAGGGUGAGUCGACCCCUAAGGCGAGGCCGAAAGGCGUAGUCGAUGGGAAACAGGUUAAUAUUCCUGUACUUGGUGUUACUGCGAAGGGGGGACGGAGAAGGCUAUGUUGGCCGGGCGACGGUUGUCCCGGUUUAAGCGURUAGGCUGGUUUUCCAGGCAAAUCCGGAAAAYYAAGGCUGAGGCGUGAUGACGAGGCACUACGGUGCUGAAGCAACAAAUGCCCUGCUUCCAGGAAAAGCCUCUAAGCAUCAGGUAACAUCAAAUCGUACCCCAAACCGACACAGGUGGUCAGGUAGAGAAUACCAAGGCGCUUGAGAGAACUCGGGUGAAGGAACUAGGCAAAAUGGUGCCGUAACUUCGGGAGAAGGCACGCUGAUAUGUAGGUGAAGUCCCUCGCGGAUGGAGCUGAAAUCAGUCGAAGAUACCAGCUGGCUGCAACUGUUUAUUAAAAACACAGCACUGUGCAAACACGAAAGUGGACGUAUACGGUGUGACGCCUGCCCGGUGCCGGAAGGUUAAUUGAUGGGGUUAGCGCAAGCGAAGCUCUUGAUCGAAGCCCCGGUAAACGGCGGCCGUAACUAUAACGGUCCUAAGGUAGCGAAAUUCCUUGUCGGGUAAGUUCCGACCUGCACGAAUGGCGUAAUGAUGGCCAGGCUGUCUCCACCCGAGACUCAGUGAAAUUGAACUCGCUGUGAAGAUGCAGUGUACCCGCGGCAAGACGGAAAGACCCCGUGAACCUUUACUAUAGCUUGACACUGAACAUUGAGCCUUGAUGUGUAGGAUAGGUGGGAGGCUUUGAAGUGUGGACGCCAGUCUGCAUGGAGCCGACCUUGAAAUACCACCCUUUAAUGUUUGAUGUUCUAACGUUGACCCGURAUCCGGGUUGCGGACAGUGUCUGGUGGGUAGUUUGACUGGGGCGGUCUCCUCCUAAAGAGUAACGGAGGAGCACGAAGGUUGGCUAAUCCUGGUCGGACAUCAGGAGGUUAGUGCAAUGGCAUAAGCCAGCUUGACUGCGAGCGUGACGGCGCGAGCAGGUGCGAAAGCAGGUCAUAGUGAUCCGGUGGUUCUGAAUGGAAGGGCCAUCGCUCAACGGAUAAAAGGUACUCCGGGGAUAACAGGCUGAUACCGCCCAAGAGUUCAUAUCGACGGCGGUGUUUGGCACCUCGAUGUCGGCUCAUCACAUCCUGGGGCUGAAGUAGGUCCCAAGGGUAUGGCUGUUCGCCAUUUAAAGUGGUACGCGAGCUGGGUUUAGAACGUCGUGAGACAGUUCGGUCCCUAUCUGCCGUGGGCGCUGGAGAACUGAGGGGGGCUGCUCCUAGUACGAGAGGACCGGAGUGGACGCAUCACUGGUGUUCGGGUUGUCAUGCCAAUGGCACUGCCCGGUAGCUAAAUGCGGAAGAGAUAAGUGCUGAAAGCAUCUAAGCACGAAACUUGCCCCGAGAUGAGUUCUCCCUGACUCCUUGA
Molecule: ribosomal RNA, 2789 nt
Filed under: Escherichia coli
Lineage: Bacteria; Pseudomonadati; Pseudomonadota; Gammaproteobacteria; Enterobacterales; Enterobacteriaceae
Description: bacterial LSU rRNA
Source: RNAcentral